UACAGAGGGGGCCAGCGUUAUUCGGAAUUAUUGGGCGUAAAGGGCGCGUAGGCGGCCACGCGUGUCUUUCGUGAAAUCCCGCGGCUCAACUGCGGGGCUGCCGGUCAUACUGGCGAGCUAGAGCACGGUAGGGGCAGAUGGAAUUCCCGGUGUAGCGGUGGAAUGCGUAGAGAUCGGGAAGAAUACCAGUGGCGAAGGCGUUCUGCUGGGCCGUUGCUGACACUGAGGCGCGACAGCGUGGGGAGCAAACAGG
Molecule: ribosomal RNA, 253 nt
Filed under: uncultured prokaryote
Description: partial 16S ribosomal RNA
Rfam family: Bacterial small subunit ribosomal RNA
Source: RNAcentral